This is a transfer RNA of Felis catus (domestic cat), 85 nucleotides long. It matches the Rfam family "tRNA". Rfam says of the family: Transfer RNA (tRNA) molecules are approximately 80 nucleotides in length. Their secondary structure includes four short double-helical elements and three loops (D, anti-codon, and T loops). The record is from Rfam. NCBI's taxonomy places the organism in Eukaryota, Metazoa, Chordata, Mammalia, Carnivora, Felidae.
GCCUGGGUGGCUCAGUGGGUUAAGCAUCUGACUUCAGCUCAGCUCAUGAUCUCACGGUUUGUGGGUUCGAGCCCUGUGUCAGGCU